Molecule: non-coding RNA, 72 nt
Organism: Ictidomys tridecemlineatus (thirteen-lined ground squirrel)
Lineage: Eukaryota; Metazoa; Chordata; Mammalia; Rodentia; Sciuridae
Source: Rfam
GGGAUUGUGGCUCAGCGGUAGAGCACUCGCCUAGCACACGGGGGGCCCUGGGUUUGAUCCUCAGCAUACAUG